CCGCAUAAUUGUGGCCUGUGCAGUCCUGCACAAUUACUGCAUCCGCCACCAUGUUUCCCUCGCUGAACCACCCGUUCCAGAAUCUGAGGACGAGGAAGAGGAAGAAGACGACAGGCCAACCACUGCCCGAGACACGGCCACUGGCACCGCCGUCAGGAAUGAGCUUGUGAACAGCGUUUUCAAGUGAAACUUCAGGAAAACGAGAGUCUUCAGUGCAUUAAAGAAACAGUUUAUUGUUAUU
Ixodes scapularis (black-legged tick) is the source of this 241-nucleotide long non-coding RNA. RefSeq lists it as uncharacterized. The record is from RefSeq and is a predicted model, not a curated record. Lineage: Eukaryota; Metazoa; Arthropoda; Arachnida; Ixodida; Ixodidae. The transcript has 2 exons.